Molecule: ribosomal RNA, 512 nt
Filed under: uncultured bacterium
Lineage: Bacteria
Description: partial 16S ribosomal RNA
Rfam family: Bacterial small subunit ribosomal RNA
Source: RNAcentral
GACGAACGCUGGCGGCGUGCCUAAUACAUGCAAGUCGAGCGAGCGGAACUAACAGAUUUACUUCGGUAAUGACGUUAGGAAAGCGAGCGGCGGAUGGGUGAGUAACACGUGGGGAACCUGCCCCAUAGUCUGGGAUACCACUUGGAAACAGGUGCUAAUACCGGAUAAGAAAGCAGAUCGCAUGAUCAGCUUUUAAAAGGCGGCGUAAGCUGUCGCUAUGGGAUGGCCCCGCGGUGCAUUAGCUAGUUGGUAAGGUAAAGGCUUACCAAGGCGAUGAUGCAUAGCCGAAGUGAGAGACUGAUCGGCCACAUUGGGACUGAGACACGGCCCAAACUCCUACGGGAGGCAGCAGUAGGGAAUCUUCCACAAUGGACGCAAGUCUGAUGGAGCAACGCCGCGUGAGUGAAGAAGGUUUUCGGAUCGUAAAGCUCUGUUGUUGGUGAAGAAGGAUAGAGGUAGUAACUGGCCUUUAUUUGACGGUAAUCAACCAGAAAGUCACGGCUAACUACGUG